RNAcentral lists this long non-coding RNA (1045 nucleotides) under Anser brachyrhynchus (Pink-footed goose). RNAcentral describes it as "lncRNA (ENSABRG00000013389.1)". Lineage: Eukaryota; Metazoa; Chordata; Aves; Anseriformes; Anatidae. The record is from RNAcentral.
AGGCAGGAACCGGCUGCACAAACCGCACUCAUAUCAGGGCAGAAGAAGGAAAGAAAAAAAUACGGAAACCACCAAGGUGGCGGUUUCACAACGCUCACUGCACGCCCAGCAGCGGCGGCGAGCAGUAAAUUUUCAGACCCGGGCCCCGCGUACACCACGGAGCCUCCAGCCCCGAGGCGGGUGAGGAAGGGGGCCGGGCCCGGCUUCACCCCCCGUGCCCGGGGGGCCUGGCUGGGCCGGGCCGGGCCCGGUGCCGCCCCCACGGUGCCUGGGCGCGGCCCGGCGGAGCCCCGGGGCAGCCACGUUGACAGGGGGCGCGGCCUCGGCGGGGAGCGGGGAGCGGCCGGUGCGGGGGAGCGGGGUAGGGGCGCGCCCGUGCGGGCACUGCGGGAGCCGCCACCACCGCCAUGUCUUCGCCCCCCAAGGAGAAAGCCGAGACGCGGGCCGGACACCCUCCUGCUGUGAAAGCAGGCGGGAUGCGGAUUGUGCAGAAACACCCACACAAUUCUGAUGCCAAAGAAGAAAAAGAUAAGGAUGACCAAGACUGGGAAACCAGCAGGUGAGCAUUUUGUUUUUGUGCAUAUGCUACAGCUAAUUUCCAUCACCUUGAACAUUAUCAGCAGUUUGUUUUCCUUGCGGAUAGUAAACAAAUGGUACGGUUGGUUUUGUAUCAAAAUUGAUUUCAAGCAGUAGCAAGUUAUAUGUUCCUUCAAGAUAUUUGGGGAAUUUAGGUAUUUUUACCUUGUCAGACCUCCUUUAUAUGAUUCUGGCAGGUAAGAGAAGGAUAGAGGGGAAAAAAAUGCAGUUAAAGAAAGACAUCAACUUUCCUAAAAAUCUCUGAACAUCAUUUCAGACUGUGCAGAAACGGUCUGGGUACGUUUGGACACAAGCAUUAGACUGUCAGCCUACAUAUCCUGUAUGUGAAGUCUUCUUGCCAUGUGCUAGUUGAUUCCUUCUGCUGUUCAGUUCAUAAUCCCUUCUCUGAGAGGUAUUUGACAAUAUGGUAGUCAAAGACAAGUAAAAAUAAAGUUAUUAAUAUUAGCCA